This 350-nucleotide ribosomal RNA is filed under the name uncultured bacterium. RNAcentral describes it as "bacterial SSU rRNA". It matches the Rfam family "Bacterial small subunit ribosomal RNA", at positions 1048 to 1397 of the family's 1533-position model. The record is from RNAcentral.
GCUGUCGUCAGCUCGUGUCGUGAGAUAUUGGGUUAAGUCCCGUAACGAGCGCAACCCUUGUCCUUAGUUACCAGCACGUACUGGUGGGCACUCUAAGGAGACUGCCGGUGACAAACCGGAGGAAGGUGGGGAUGACGUCAAGUCAUCAUGGCCCUUACGGCCUGGGCUACACACGUGCUACAAUGGUCGGUACAAAGGGUUGCCAAGCCGCGAGGUGGAGCUAAUCCCAUAAAACCGAUCGUAGUCCGGAUCGCAGUCUGCAACUCGACUGCGUGAAGUCGGAAUCGCUAGUAAUCGUGAAUCAGAAUGUCACGGUGAAUACGUUCCCGGGUCUUGUACACACGCAUCUU